AAAUCUGUCCUUUUCAGGACCACCAACAUUUUAUAAAGAGAGAUA
Drosophila pseudoobscura pseudoobscura is the source of this 45-nucleotide non-coding RNA. The record is from Rfam. Lineage: Eukaryota; Metazoa; Arthropoda; Insecta; Diptera; Drosophilidae.